Molecule: long non-coding RNA, 5089 nt
Filed under: Homo sapiens (human)
Lineage: Eukaryota; Metazoa; Chordata; Mammalia; Primates; Hominidae
Description: HSALNT0285104
Source: RNAcentral
CAGCAUGUCAGGUGGCUAUGUGGAGAUGAUUGAAAUUUAGUUCAGGUGAGAGGCCUGAACUGAAGAGAUUAGAAGUAGGAGUCAUAAGUGCAGAUGGGCUCACCCACAGAUAGUAAGCAGAGUGACCAGAGAACUGGUUCAAAUAUGGGAACUCAAAGAAACAUCAACAUUAUGAGAGAGACUCAGAGAAAAUGAGUGAGUGGCUGGAGAGAGAUGAGGAAAAUCAAGAGAGAACGAACUCAUGGAAGCCAAGAAAAGACAAAUUCUCCAGACAAGAGUGCUCAGACUGCAGGGGGUUGAGCAGGUCCUGAGUACUAGUGAAACUACUGAGGUCAGCUGGUCUGAAGGACUCCACGAGAAGCCAACUCACCAAAGAAUGCAGCUUCCACAUCCUGGUGACUUCAUCCCCCUUACCCUGACCAAUCUAUGAACCCAAUUUUCCACCCCUUUGCCCUCCACAAUCCGCUUAAAAACCCCAACCCAGCACUCCUCGGGGAGAUGGAUUUGAGGAUCUCCUCUCAUCUCCUCACUCGGCUGCCCUGCAGUCAUUAUACUCUUUCUCUGCUGCAAACACUACUGUCUCAUUGUAGUCAUCUGUUACUGCACAGCAGGCAUACAAAUCUGUUGAUCCUGUAACAGAGGCAACAUGGCAAGUACUGUAUUUUUCUAUUUGAUGAUUCAAUUAGCUAGAAAAAGCAUGACUUUGGUGGAAGCCACCAAAAGUAAGAACUUUUGUGCGUUACCACCUAAGGGCAGACUUACUUGCAGGCCCUUGUCUCCAUCUAAUUGAAAUCACUACCCAACGUCUUUCCCAAACUCACACAAGGCUGCACAACCCAGAAGACAAAAAAGCAGAGCACAAGGGCACAUACCCUAAGGACUGGUAGGCACCAACCCUACACUUUUGUUUCUGCUGCCUCUCUGACUUCUCAGAAUUGCCCACUUGGCUCUAUUGUGCUUUCUUUUUCUCCACCUUAGCAACUGGCCACUCAGAAUUUGACCUCUUUUUUGAUGGCCUAUAAAGCUACUAUGUGUCAAUUACUAAGUUAAAUUCUUUAAAAUUACCUCAUUUAAUUAUCAGAAUAACUGUCUGAUGUUGAUGUUAUUACUCUUAUUUUUAUAAAUGAAGAAACCAAGGCCCAGAAGACUUGGGUACUUGCUCAAGACUGAUGGUAUCAGCCCAAUCAUUCCCAUUCUGCUAAAUUCUUAUUCUGCACCCUCUUCAAAAAAAAAAAGUUAUUGAGAUUUAAUUCACAUAUCAUAAAAUUCAUUUGAAGUAUAUAAUUCAGUAGUUUGUUUGAUUAUUUUUGAGACUGGAUCUCACUCUGUCACCCAGGCUGGAGUACGGUGGCUUGAUCACACUUCACAGUAGCCUCCACCUCCUCAGCCUCCCAAGUGGCUGGAACUACAAGUGUAAGCCACCACACCUGGUUAAUUGUUUUCAAUUAUUUGUAGAGACAGGGGUCUCAUGAUGUUGCCCAGGCUGGUCUCAACUCCUGUCCUCAAGCAAUCCUCCCUCAUCAGAUUCCCAAAGUGCUGUAAUUACAGGUGUGUGCACUGCGCCCAGCCAGUAGCUUUCACUAUAUUUACAAAGACAUGAAACCAUUUGCCCAAUCUAAGUUUAAAAUAUUUUCGUUCCCCCAAAAUGGAAAUCCUACACGUAGACCGUCACUUCUCAACCUCAUCAUGCCCUGCCCUAAACCUAGGCAACCAUUUAAUUAUUACAACAAAUCCGAGGUAAUUAGUAUCUACUUUCUGUCUCUGUAGAUUUCCUCAUCCUGGAUACUGCAUAUAAAUGCAGUCAUACAAUAUCUAGUCUUUUGUGAUGGGCUCUUUCAUGUAGCAUAGUGUAUUCACGGUUCAUCCAGACUUAUGGAGGUACUCACUCCACCAUUCGAGAAGUCAUGUCUUCCCGUCCACUCUUAUAACCAACUCUACCUUGUUGACACUUAUACCCUGAUAUGACAGAGAUCAAAUAAGAAUCCUGAUACUUAUUUGCAUACAGUGGAACUCAUUAUAAUUACUACCUUACAAAUUAAUCCUGUCUCACCAGGUUAUUACUAUAUAGAGUCUAAUAAUGAAUGUUACUGUCCCCCAAAAUAUAUCCAAAUCCACCUGGCCAAUGGAAGUCUGUUCUUUGAAGUAAUCACUAAUAUUUCCUCCACCACUGGUGAUUAUUUGCUUCAGAAUUCGGCUUUUCCCAUUUUCAAGUUAUCUCCAAAGGCUAUCAAACCCAAUAAUCUUUGUAUUUCCCUAACCGAAAAAGGAAAUUUUUUAAUGCCUCCAAUUUUCAAAUAAGAUGAAGUGAUAUAGUAAUGCAAGUUACUUUUUUUCUUCAUAGCAAUGAAAUUGUUCCCACUUCAACAAAUCAAGCCACAAGUUUGCGUGUGUGAGUGUGCACGCAUGUGUGUGUGUGUGUGCACGUGUGUGUGUAUGUCUGACACUGCGUGGGUAUGUCUGGGAAUGCUAACAACCAAGUUAGAGAAUCUCAUUACAUAGAGUUUUCUGGCUACAUUUUGUGCUUUAAAAUUAGGUCUCUGCUUGAAAUCCCAGCCCUUCCUUGGCUCUUUUCAGUUCUAAGGUCUCUUCUGAUUAGUGAAGUGUUGACAUAUUGCUGUUCACUUGGGAGACUCCGGGUUCUUCCCUAAGAGUAAUAAAAUUCAAGCAGAGUGCUUUUGCCAAGAUAAAAGUUCAAAGUAACCUAGGAGGAUAUGUGCAACUGUGAACAUGUGAAGAACACUGGGGGCUAAAUGUUGAAAGGGCCUUUCCAGUCUUUUUGUACUGCUUUCUCUUUCCUGUGUUUGCAGUUGUCAAAUUGUCCAAUCAGGUCAGAUGAUGAACAAAUUGAUCCUCAAUGUAAAGAUGCAGGUUCCACACUCAAGCUCUCUGUCCCAGUCUACAGAAAACAGAAAGGGCACUUUCGACAUUGAGUUCUGAGUACAUGCAUUUUUUUUAAUUCAGAUAAGUGAAGACCAAACAUAAACAUAUCACUUCCUUGCUCUUUUUAUUCCAUAAAUGUACCAUAAUUCCAAUCAAAAGCACAAUAGAUUUUACUUUGGGAGUCGACAAAAUAAUUCUAAAGGUCAUAUGGGCAAUAAACAGGACAGAGUAGCUAAAAUUUUUAAAGUAUGAUUAUUCAGGAAGAACAUGCACAAUCAGAUAUUAUUGUAACUUUAUAAUAUGUAUAAUAAAAAAAUACUGGUGCCAGGAUAGCUCACAGCAAGAGAAUAACAAGUCCAGAAAGAGAUACAGAUUUACAUGAGAGUUCAAUAUACAAUAUACAUGCCAUUUUAGUAUGGCAGGGGAAUGGAUAAGUUAUUCAAUAAACACUGGACUAAGUGGCACAAAAUUUGAAAACAAAAAAAACUUAGACCCCUCUCUCACAAUAUUUGUCAACUAAAUUUCAUAUAAAGUAGAAAGGUAGGCCGGGCAUGGUGGCUCAUACCCGUAAUACCAGCACUUUGAGAGGCUGAGGUGGGAGGAUCACUUGAAGCCAGGAGUUCGACACCAGCCCGGGCAACAAAGUAAGACCCUUUCUCUACAAAAUAUUUAUUUUAACUUAAUUGGAUGUGGUGGCAUCUAAGGUGAGAAGAUUGCUUGAACCCAUGAGCCCAAGAGUUUGAGGCUACAGUGAGCUAUGAUCACCCCACUGUAGUCCAGCCUGAGCAACAGAAUGAGACCCUGUCUCUAAUUUAAAAAAAAACACAAAGUAAAAUUAAAACAAAAAUAAAAAUAAAAAAGUAGGAGGUAAAAAUUUUCCAAUAAAAAGAUUUUUCAAAAAGAAACUAUGGGUGACUAUCUGAUCAGGGGGAAGGGGAAUCCUUUAUUCUAAGAACAAAAGUAAAAAAGCAACCGUAAUGAAAAGUUAUAGAUUUGACUACAUCAAAAUGUGUAUUAAAAUGCCAUGAAUAAAAAAUAAAGGAUAAUAACAGAAAAAUGCAACAUAAAGGACAAAUAGCAAUAUAUCUUUACUAUAUAAAGACUUUCAAAAAUCAAUAAUAAAAAGCACACCAAUAGAAAAUUUAGAAAUAAUGCACAUAAGAAAUUCAUAAAAGAUCUGAAUGAUGGAUAGACAUAAGUAAAGAUGAUAAACUUCACUAGUGGUCAAAUAAAUUAGAACAAAUGAGAUACCAGUUUUAUCUAUAAAAUGUGCAAAGAUGUGGAGAAACAAGCAGCCCCCUUUUAACAUUUAGAACAAAUGGAAGCAAAAUGGAAUAUUUCUAGAGGACAAUUUAGGAAAGUCCAUUAAAAGUUUUAAAAAAUAUACAGUCCCCUUGUUCUAGAAAUACCACUUCUAAGAAUUUAUCCAAUGGAAAAUUAGUAAGAGGUACUCAAAUAUUUACGUAAGGGCACGAUUAUCACAGCAUUACAUAUAAUUGCAAAAAAAGUGGUGGGAAAGGAAUGUCUAACAGUACAAGUGGGGUAAAUAGCUUGCACGUAAGUUUAAUAAAAUACUGUACAAGUAUUAAAAUUAUUUUGUAAAGGAGGCCGGGUGCAGUGGCUCGCGCCUGUAAUCCCAGCAUUUUGGGAGGCCGAGGCAGAAGAAUCGCUUGAGCUCAGGAGUUCAAGACCAGCCUGGGCAACAUGGCAAAAUUCCAUCUCUACAAAAAAUGCAAAAAAGUAUCUGGAUGCGGUGGUGCCCCUGUGGUCCCAGCUGCUUGGGGGGCUGAGGUGAGAGGAUUGCUUGAGCCUGGGAGGCAAAGGUUGCAGUGAGCCAAGACUGCACCACUGCACUGCAGGCUGGGUGACAGAGUGAGACCCUGUCUCCAAAAAAAGAAAGAAAAAAAUUAUUUUGUAAAAGAAUAACUAACAAAUAACCUGUAAAAGUGGUCACCACAUAAUGUAAUUAUGUUAUAAAAAAGCCAGUUAGAAAACACAGUAUUUAAUAUAAUCCUAAUUUUGUAAAAUGCAUACAUAUGUGGGGGUGUGUACAGAUGUAUGUGUAUGGAUGUAUGUAGAAAAGAUUAGGAAAAAAAAAACCUCCAAAAUGUUAACCAUAUUAUCUCUGAGUAUCAAGAUUAUUGGUAAUUUUAAUUUUCUUCGUUGUACUUUUCUGUACUUUCCACAUUUUAAAAAUGAACAUGUGCUA